UACGAGAGGCCCAAACGUGAUUCGGAAUUACUGGGCUUAAAGAGUUCGUAGGCGGCGCAGAAAGUAGGGUGUGAAAGCCCUCGGCUUAACCGAGGAAUUGCGCUCUAAACUACUGUGCUUGAGGAACCUAGAGGUGAGCAGAACAGAUGGUGGAGCGGUGAAAUGCGUUGAUAUCAUCUGGAAUACCGGAGGCGAAGGCGGCUCACUGGGGGUUUUCUGACGCUGAGGAACGAAAGCCAGGGUAGCGAACGGG
Molecule: ribosomal RNA, 253 nt
Filed under: uncultured bacterium
Lineage: Bacteria
Description: partial 16S ribosomal RNA
Rfam family: Bacterial small subunit ribosomal RNA
Source: RNAcentral